AAAAGUGGGAUGUGAAGCCGAACUGACUGUGUUUCUCAUGGAAGGGGAGUAACGGCUGACAGGAAUGGAAGAUGUCGGAGGGAAAAGAAGGGGUUUACCAAUAAACAAGCGUGGCAAAGGCCUCAGCCGUGAGAAUACCGUGGUGAAGUCCUAGGGUUAAUCAUCUGAUCCACAACAUUCACAUGUCAGAGGGAAAAAUUAAAAGGAUGAAAAUCUGGGAAAACUUUACCUUGUAUCCUGCACACAAGAUCAACGUCAAACCAAGGUCUGUUAGACUGCUUUACACCUGUAAAUGGAUAUUCAGCAAGUUGAUAACUUUGUAGGAACAACAUAACACCGUCAGGUAUUUGCAAUAUUUGUCUGUAAACUACUUGGGGUUUAAUAAAUGAGCUUAACUUGCUUACGUUGUCACGUGCAGACGUCUGUAACGUCUGAGACGCAUGAGCUGUGAGACGUAAGGGAAUAUGAAAAUGAUGUAGUACGUAUUUAAGCUUUAAAAAGAUAAAUAUAAAAACCAUGUGUAGAUACAUUUGUAGUAAUUAUUCACCUGAAUGAGAGAAACUGUCUAGAGACGAGAUGCACACGAGCGUUUGUGUUGAAUUGUGUUGUUUUAAUUCUCAAAGACGUGAGGGCAAACGCAGUCUGAUUUAAUCGUAUUUGUUCUAAUUAAAUAAUAGCCUAUAUGUAGCUUGAAAUGGAUUUGUUGUGACUGUGAUAAUAAGAACGUGUGCGUAGCGAACGUAGGAAACGACUGCGUCUGUCGACGUGUGUGAAAAUUACAGACGCGAGUUUUUUUUAGCUUGUGGUGCUUUAUAAUUGUGAGGGUUACAUAUUUGUGAGAUCCUAAUAGUUUGUUAUAUGAAGCUGUAGACAGUUGAACGGAGAGUUUUAGCUGCCAGGCGCUCGCUGUCCUCUGCAUGUGCUGCUGCUGAUGUAUCACUCGCACGGCCGGCUGAGCUUAGAACUAAAGAUGAUGCUGUUUUUAUACGUUCUUUCGCGAGAUAUGUUUAUUAUAUUGUAUACAUGUAAUUAGGUUUCAUAACUAGUGUUUAGGGAGCAUUUUGAGCACAGUAAAUGUGAACUAUGAGUUGUUGGAAUUACCAAAGGGUCAAAGGGGGCUGGGUAGUGCAGAAAGGGGGAGAGAUAAAUAUGUUUAAAUUAAAGAAUAAAGAUUAUAGGCGUCGAGUUAUUCUUAAGAUGUCAGUGGUAGAUCAGUGAGCGUCGAGGACUGACUGAAAGCUGGAAUGUAUAAUGUGUUACGUGAGAGGAAACGUGUGUGUGUGUGUGUGUGUCAGAGAGAGAGAGAGACUGUAUGUGUCUGAUCUCGAACAUUUUAUGUUUUAAGGUUUGUCUAAGUAAAAGAUAAUUAAGUAAAAUAUCUA
Sinocyclocheilus anshuiensis is the source of this 1382-nucleotide long non-coding RNA. RefSeq lists it as uncharacterized. The record is from RefSeq and is a predicted model, not a curated record. The transcript has 3 exons. NCBI's taxonomy places the organism in Eukaryota, Metazoa, Chordata, Actinopteri, Cypriniformes, Cyprinidae.